This 875-nucleotide ribosomal RNA is filed under the name uncultured bacterium. Its description in RNAcentral is "bacterial SSU rRNA". It matches the Rfam family "Bacterial small subunit ribosomal RNA", at positions 8 to 916 of the family's 1533-position model. The record is from RNAcentral.
AGAGUUUGAUCAUGGCUCAGGAUGAACGCUGGCGGUAUGCCUAACACAUGCAAGUCGUACGAGAGUUUUUAACUCUAGUGGCGGACGGGUGAGUAACACGUGAGAAUUUGCCUUUAGGAGGGGGAUAACAAUUGGAAACGAAUGCUAAUACCCCAUAUGCUUCCGAGUGAAAUGGAUUUAUAUUUAUCCGCCUAAAGAGAAGCUCGCGGCUGAUUAGCUUGUUGGUAAGGUAAGAGCUUACCAAGGCGACGAUCAGUAUCUGGUUUGAGAGGACGAUCAGACACACUGGAACUGAGACACGGUCCAGACUCCUACGGGAGGCAGCAGUGGGGAAUUUUCCGCAAUGGGCGAAAGCCUGACGGAGCAAUACCGCGUGAGGGAAGACUGCCUAUGGGUUGUAAACCUCUUUUUUCAGGGAGGAAUCAAUGACGUGUACCUGAAGAAUAAGCAUCGGCUAACUCCGUGCCAGCAGCCGCGGUAAGACGGAGGAUGCAAGUGUUAUCCGGAAUCACUGGGCGUAAAGCGUCUGUAGGUGGUUUAAUAAGUCAACUGUUAAAUCUUGAGGCUCAACUUCAAAAUCGCAGUCGAAACUAUUAGACUAGAGUAUAGUAGAGGUAAAGGGAAUUUCCAGUGGAGCGGUGAAAUGCGUAGAUAUUGGAAAGAACACCGAUGGCGAAAGCACUUUACUGGGCUAUUACUAACACUCAGAGACGAAAGCUAGGGUAGCAAAUGGGAUUAGAUACCCCAGUAGUCCUAGCCGUAAACAAUGGAUACUAGAUGUUGAACAGAUCGACCUGUGCAGUAUCAAAGCUAACGCGUUAAGUAUCCCGCCUGGGAAGUAUGCUCGCAAGAGUGAAACUCAAAGGAAUUGACGG